Molecule: ribosomal RNA, 467 nt
Filed under: uncultured Pseudomonadota bacterium
Lineage: Bacteria; Pseudomonadati; Pseudomonadota
Description: bacterial SSU rRNA
Rfam family: Bacterial small subunit ribosomal RNA
Source: RNAcentral
AACGAACGCUAGUGGCAUGCUUAAAACAUGCAAGUCGAACGAGAAAGCACCUUCGGGUGUGAUUAAAGUGGCGCACGGGUGAGUAACACGUAGCUAACGUGCCCUCUCGCUGGGGACAACUCCGGGAAACCGGAGCUAAUACCGAAUGAUCUGACUUAAUCUGCGGAUUGAGUCGGUAAAGCCUUCGGGCGCGAGAGGAUCGGGCUGCGGACCAUUAGCUUGUUGGUGGGGUAAAGGCCUACCAAGGCAACGAUGGAUAGCUGGUCUGAGAGGAUGAUCAGCCACACUGGAACUGAAACACGGUCCAGACUCCCACGGGAGGCAGCAGUUAGGAAUAUUGCACAAUGGGGGAAACCCUGAUGCAGCAAUGCCACGUGAGUGAAGAAGGGUUUCGGCUCGUAAAGCUCUUUCAGCAGGGAAGAAAGGCAACUUGACAUUAUCUGCAGAAGAAGCACCGGCUAACUCCG